UAAGGUGACCAACUGUCCUGGUUUGUCUGGGACUGAGGAGUUUCCCAAGAUACAGGAAUUUCUGUGCUAAAACAGGGAAGGUC
Chlorocebus sabaeus (green monkey) is the source of this 83-nucleotide microRNA precursor. The record is from Ensembl. NCBI's taxonomy places the organism in Eukaryota, Metazoa, Chordata, Mammalia, Primates, Cercopithecidae.